This 467-nucleotide ribosomal RNA is filed under the name Actinomyces sp. oral taxon 414. RNAcentral's name for it is "bacterial SSU rRNA". It matches the Rfam family "Bacterial small subunit ribosomal RNA", at positions 28 to 474 of the family's 1533-position model. The record is from RNAcentral. Lineage: Bacteria; Bacillati; Actinomycetota; Actinomycetes; Actinomycetales; Actinomycetaceae.
GACGAACGCUGGCGGCGUGCUUAACACAUGCAAGUCGAACGGGCCUGUCUUCUUUUUUGGGGGGUGGGUUGAGUGGCGAACGGGUGAGUAUCACGUGAGUAACCUGCCCUUCGGUCCUGGAUAACCGCUUGAAAGGGCGGCUAAUACGGGGUGGUCCGGUUGGUCCGCAUGGGCUGGUCGGGAUAGAUUCACUGUUUUUGGUGUUUCGGCGGGGGAUGGGCUCGCGGCCUAUCAGCUUGUUGGUGGGGUGAUGGCCUACCAAGGCGGUGACGGGUAGCCGGCCUGAGAGGGUGGGCGGCCACACUGGGACUGAGAUACGGCCCAGACUCCUGCGGGAGGCAGCAGUGGGGGGUAUUGCACAAUGGGCGGAAGCCUGAUGCAGCGACGUCGCGUGAGGGAUGGAGGCCUUCGGGUUGUGAACCUCUGUUUCCGGUGGUGAAGGCCCUGUCCGUGUGGUGGGGUUGACG